GGAGCAACAAAACCCCAAAGAAGGAUUCGACGAUUAAUUAUAGGGGAAGAGAACAAAGAAGAAGAAGAAUCUCAUGGAUAGAAAGAAGAAGAUAAAAAGCGAAUGUGUUGAAGAAAAAGAAACAAACAAUAAUUCAGAAAUAUUUGCAUCUUGCUCUUUCUCCAGUCUCGGCCUCCACCCCACCCUAUGCAACGAGCUCCGAGAAAGAAUGGGCUUUGAAGCUCCAACACUGGUACAGGCUCAAGCUAUUCCAGUUGUUCUCUCUGGUCGCCAUGUGUAUCCUUUUUGCUCUACUUGUAAUCUGACAGAUUAAGUGUCUCAGUUUCUUUUAGUAACUUAUGCAGUUUUUAGCUUCUGGGUUCUUGCUAAUUGUUCUUCUAGCAUAGAUGCUUCCUUUGUUUCUCGUUAAUGUUGAAUAACUCAUAGACUUGUUAAUGCUGCUACUGGCACUGGAAAAACUGUGGCCUAUUUAGCCCCAAUUAUCCAUCAUUUGCAGAGUUGCAGUCCUAAAAUUGAACGCGCUCAAGGAACGUUUGCGUUGGUCCUUGUACCAACGCGGGAGUUGUGCAUACAGGUUUAUGAAAUUCUGCAAAAAUUAUUACACCGUUUUCAUUGGAUUGUUCCGGGUUAUGUGAUGGGUGGUGAAAACAGAUCAAAGGAGAAAGCCAGGCUACGCAAAGGUAUAUCUAUUCUUGUUGCAACUCCUGGGCGCCUUUUGGAUCACUUAAAAAAUACAUCAUCAUUUGUGCACACAAAUUUGCGAUGGAUAAUCUUUGAUGAAGCAGAUAGAAUUUUGGAAUUAGGAUUUGGCAAGGAAAUAGAGGAAAUACUGGAUCUUUUGGGCUCUAGGUUAACUGGGUCAGAUGGCAAGGAAAAUCAAGUUUCAAGCAUCACCAAUGUUCAGAGGCAAAAUCUGCUAUUAUCAGCUACCUUAAAUGAAAAAGUAAAUCAUCUUGCUAAAAUUAGUUUACAAAAUCCAACUAUGAUCGGUCUUGAUGACAAGAAGAUGCAGCCAGAUCCAUUACUUGAACAUGCUGAAUCUAUAGAAUCUGAUACGGAUGAUGAACUUGAACAUCCCAGGAAAGUAACAAAAUCUUCAACUGGAGAUUAUAAACUUCCAAUUCAGUUGGUUCAGAAAUAUGUGAAAGUGCCCUGUGGUUCACGGCUUGCUGUACUUCUUUUCAUUCUAAAGCAUCUUUUUGAGAAACAAGCUUCCCAAAAGAUUGUGGUGUUCUUUUCAACAUGUGAUGCAGUAGAUUUUCACUAUUCGUUGUUGAGUGAAUUUCACUUGUCGGCCAAUUCACAAUCAGAUGCAGAGGUUACACAGAUGUUCUUGAGAUGCAAAACUUUUCAGUUGCAUGGGAAUAUGAAGCAGGAAGAUCGGAGAAACACUUUCCGAGCCUUCAAAACUGAGAAAUUAGCUCUUCUUUUGUCCACAGAUGUUGCUGCUAGAGGCUUGGAUUUUCCAAAAGUUAAAUGCAUUAUACAAUAUGACUCUCCAGGAGAGGCUACUGAAUAUGUUCACAGGGUUGGUAGGACUGCUCGUUUGGGUGAAAAGGGGGAUUCCUUGCUAUUUCUACAACCAGUUGAAGUGGAUUAUAUAGAAGAUUUGGAGAAACAUGGAGUGUCACUGGCAGAGUAUCCCAUCCUCAAAGUGUUGGAUAGUUUCCCAUUGAAUGGACAUAUGCACCGUAUCAAGAAGUUUGUUUCUUUAGAUUCACAUCCUUGGCUUGUAUCUCUACAGAAGGCACUUGAAUCAUUUAUCUCAGCACGGCCAAGGAUGAAUAAACUGGCCCAGAAUGCAUUUAUCUCUUGGGUCCGAGCAUACACAGCCCAUCGUGGAGAGCUGAAAAGAAUAUUUAUGGUGCAGAAACUUCACCUGGGGCAUGUUGCCAAAAGCUUUGCCUUGAAGCAACAACCAUCAUUGGUUGGAAAAUCAUUCCAAAAGCAACAAUCAAAUAAGAGGAAGAGGGACCAGAAGCAAAAGGGCCAGUCAAAAAAGAGGAAGAUAAAUGGUAAAACGUGAAUGCAAAACAUGUGAAAGCUAAUUAUGGGACGUGAGUAGAUGACGGAUAAAUGCUGAUAUCUGUUGCAAUGCAAAACAUGUAAAGCUAAUUAUGGGACGUGAUUAGACAACGGAUAAAUGCUGAUCUCUGUUGCAAACUAAGGGCAUGCUAACCAACACAGAUUUUGCGGACAUUUGCAGCUUUGAAAUGGUGACUUGGUAACUUGGAAUGGAGAAAUAGAAGAAUUGAGCAAUUUUGCAGCAUUUUGUGUGGUUCAUUUGCAAGUUGCAAUGGACUAAUAUGAAUCUUAUGGAUAUAUGUUAUUAAUGAUUAUUUUUUACUCGAAAUUGUACUAGGAUAAAAUACUAGCAACAUGUGUGUUGAGAACUAGUGAUUAUACAUGUGGAUUGCUUAUUACAGUUCUAAUUUCCUAGAACUAUGUCAUCAGUUUGGAAUGCACAAGAUUUUGUUAGGGCACCCAAUAUUUUGC
This 2496-nucleotide unclassified non-coding RNA is filed under the name Hevea brasiliensis (rubber tree). The record is from RNAcentral. Lineage: Eukaryota; Viridiplantae; Streptophyta; Magnoliopsida; Malpighiales; Euphorbiaceae.